RNAcentral lists this ribosomal RNA (850 nucleotides) under uncultured bacterium. RNAcentral describes it as "bacterial SSU rRNA". It matches the Rfam family "Bacterial small subunit ribosomal RNA", at positions 35 to 843 of the family's 1533-position model. The record is from RNAcentral.
GAGGGGCGGCGUGCCUAAUACUCGCAAGUCGAGCGAGCUUGCCUAGAUGAUUUUAGUGCUUGCACUAAAUGAAACUACAUACAAGCGAGCGGCGGACGGGUGAGUAACACGUGGGUAACCUGCCCAAGAGACUGGGAUAACACCUGGAAACAGAUGCUAAUACCGGAUAACAACACUAGACGCAUGUCUAGAGUUUGAAAGAUGGUUCUGCUAUCACUCUUGGAUGGACCUGCGGUGCAUUAGCUAGUUGGUAAGGUAACGGCUUACCAAGGCAAUGAUGCAUAGCCGAGUUGAGAGACUGAUCGGCCACAUUGGGACUGAGACACGGCCCAAACUCCUACGGGAGGCAGCAGUAGGGAAUCUUCCACAAUGGACGAAAGUCUGAUGGAGCAACGCCGCGUGAGUGAAGAAGGGUUUCGGCUCGUAAAGCUCUGUUGGUAGUGAAGAAAGAUAGAGGUAGUAACUGGCCUUUAUUUGACGGUAAUUACUUAGAAAGUCACGGCUAACUACGUGCCAGCAGCCGCGGUAAUACGUAGGUGGCAAGCGUUGUCCGGAUUUAUUGGGCGUAAAGCGAGUGCAGGCGGUUCAAUAAGUCUGAUGUGAAAGCCUUCGGCUCAACCGGAGAAUUGCAUCAGAAACUGUUGAACUUGAGUGCAGAAGAGGAGAGUGGAACUCCAUGUGUAGCGGUGGAAUGCGUAGAUAUAUGGAAGAACACCAGUGGCGAAGGCGGCUCUCUGGUCUGCAACUGACGCUGAGGCUCGAAAGCAUGGGUAGCGAACAGGAUUAGAUACCCUGGUAGUCCACGCCGUAAACGAUGAUCACUANGUGUCGGUGGGUAUGGACCCAUCGG